GUGAAAAUAUUAGUUUGGUGCAAAAGUCAUUGUGGUUCUUGCCAUUAGAAGUAAUGCCAAAGACCGCAAUGACUUUUGCACCAAGCUAAUAGCUGCGC
This 98-nucleotide microRNA precursor is filed under the name Callithrix jacchus (white-tufted-ear marmoset). Its description in RNAcentral is "microRNA cja-mir-548k precursor". Its record names the gene cja-mir-548k. Lineage: Eukaryota; Metazoa; Chordata; Mammalia; Primates; Cebidae. The record is from miRBase by way of RNAcentral.